AGUGAACGCUGGCGGCGUGCUUAACACAUGCAAGUCGAACGAGAACGGGUUAUAGCUUGCUAUAAUUGUCAGCUAAGUGGCGCACGGGUGAGUAAUGUAUAGGUAAUAUGCCUCUUACUAAGGGAUAACAAAUGGAAACGUUUGCUAAUACCUUAUACUCCUUAUUAACAUAAGUUAAUAAGGGAAAGAUUUAUUGGUAAGAGAUUAGCCUGUAUUGUAUCAGUUAGUUGGUGGGGUAAUGGCUUACCAAGACUAUGACACAUAACUGGUUUGAGAGUAUGAUCAGUCACGCUGGAACUGAGUCACAGUCCAGACUCCUACGGGAGGCAGCAGUUGUAAAUAAUGCACAGUGGACGAAAGGCUGAUGCAGCAACGCCGCGUUGAAGAUGACACAUUUCGGGGAGUAUACUCCUUUUAUAUGAGAAGAUAAUGACGGUAUUAUAUGAAUAAGCACCGGCUAACUCCGUGCCAUCCGCCACGGUAA
This 484-nucleotide ribosomal RNA is filed under the name uncultured bacterium. Its description in RNAcentral is "partial 16S ribosomal RNA". It matches the Rfam family "Bacterial small subunit ribosomal RNA", at positions 29 to 523 of the family's 1533-position model. The record is from RNAcentral.